UUGCAGCUAACUAAGCCGACCAGCUUUUGCCUUUAUCAGAAGCUGGUGUGCAAUGGCUGCAUACAGUAAUUCUCUGGUUGUGUAUGUGCUUUGUUUCACCCCAUACAAAGUGCUCUAAGGGACCAUUGAGACAUUU
Small nucleolar RNA from Rana temporaria (common frog), 136 nucleotides. RefSeq annotates it as small nucleolar RNA SNORA70. Lineage: Eukaryota; Metazoa; Chordata; Amphibia; Anura; Ranidae. The record is from RefSeq and is a predicted model, not a curated record. The transcript has a single exon.